GAGUUUGAUCCUGGGCUCAGGAUGAACGCUGGCGGCGUGCCUAAUACAUGCAAGUCGAACGAGAGUGCUUGCACUCUAGUGGCGAACGGGUGAGUAACACGUAGGUAACCUGCCUUACAGUUGGGAUACCCUGGCGAAAGCUAGGCUAAUACCGAAUAAUUGGAUUGGAGGCAUCUCCGAUCUCUAAAAGGGGGCCCUUAAAGCCUCGCUGAAUGAUGGACCUGCGGCGCAUUAGCUAGUUGGUGAGAUAACAGCCCACCAAGGCGAGGAUGCGUAGCCGACCUGAGAGGGUGAACGGCCACACUGGAACUGAGACACGGUCCAGACUCCUACGGGAGGCAGCAGUAGGGAGUUUUCGGCAAGUGGGGGCCAACCCUGACCGAGCAACGCCGCGUGAAUGAUAGAAGGUCUUCGGAUUGUAAAGUUCUGUUAUAAGGGAAAAUGAUAUGGUGAGGAAAUGCUCCAUAUUUGAUGGUACCUUAUUAGAAAGCCACGGCUAACUACGUGCCAGCCGCCGC
Molecule: ribosomal RNA, 518 nt
Filed under: uncultured bacterium
Lineage: Bacteria
Description: bacterial SSU rRNA
Rfam family: Bacterial small subunit ribosomal RNA
Source: RNAcentral